This 104-nucleotide small nuclear RNA is filed under the name Dasypus novemcinctus (nine-banded armadillo). The record is from RNAcentral. Lineage: Eukaryota; Metazoa; Chordata; Mammalia; Cingulata; Dasypodidae.
GUACUCACUACAGCAGCACAUAUACCAAAUUUGGAACGAUGCAAAGAUUACCAUGGCCCUUGCCCAAGGAUGACAUGCAAAUUCAUGAAGUGUUCCAUACUUAC